GAUGAACGCUGGCGGCGUGCCUAAUACAUGCAAGUCGAGCGAACAGAUGAGGAGCUUGCUCCUCUGACGUUAGCGGCGGACGGGUGAGUAACACGUGGAUAACCUCCCUAUAAGACUGGGAUAACUUCGGGAAACCGGAGCUAAUACCGGAUAAUAUAUUGAACCGCAUGGUUCAAUAGUGAAAGACGGUUUUGCUGUCACUUAUAGCUGGAUCCGCGCCGCAUUAGCUAGUUGGUAAGGUAACGGCUUACCAAGGCAACGAUGCGUAGCCGACCUGAGAGGGUGAUCGGCCACACUGGAACUGAGACACGGUCCAGACUCCUACGGGAGGCAGCAGUAGGGAAUCUUACGCAAUGGGCGAAAGCCUGACGGAGCAACGCCGCGUGAGUGAUGAAGGUCUUCGGAUCGUAAAACUCUGUUAUUAGGGAAGAACAAAUGUGUAAGUAACUAUGCACGUCUUGACGGUACCUAAUCAGAAAGCCACGGCUAACUACGUG
Molecule: ribosomal RNA, 497 nt
Filed under: uncultured bacterium
Lineage: Bacteria
Description: partial 16S ribosomal RNA
Rfam family: Bacterial small subunit ribosomal RNA
Source: RNAcentral